This 445-nucleotide ribosomal RNA is filed under the name uncultured bacterium. Its description in RNAcentral is "partial 16S ribosomal RNA". It matches the Rfam family "Bacterial small subunit ribosomal RNA", at positions 354 to 796 of the family's 1533-position model. The record is from RNAcentral.
GUGAGGAAUAUUGGUCAAUGGGCGAGAGCCUGAACCAGCCAAGUCGCGUGAAGGAAGACGGCCCUACGGGUUGUAAACUUCUUUUGCAAUGGAAUAAAAAGAGUUACGUGUAAUUCAUUGUAUGUACAUUGCGAAUAAGGAUCGGCUAACUCCGUGCCAGCAGCCGCGGUAAUACGGAGGAUCCGAGCGUUAUCCGGAUUUAUUGGGUUUAAAGGGUGCGUAGGCGGAUUGGAAAGUCAGCGGUGAAAGUUUGCAGCUUAACUGUAAAAUUGCCAUUGAAACUGUCAGUCUUGAGUGCAAAUGAGGUAGGCGGAAUGUGUUGUGUAGCGGUGAAAUGCAUAGAUAUAACACAGAACACCAAUUGCGAAGGCAGCUUACUAAGCUACAACUGACACUGAAGCACGAAAGCGUGGGGAUCAAACAGGAUUAGAAACCCCGGUAGUCC